AGGACGAACGCUGGCGGCGUGCUUAACACAUGCAAGUCGAGCGGAAAGGCCCUUCGGGGUACUCGAGCGGCGAACGGGUGAGUAACACGUGAGCAACCUGCCCUUAGCUUCGGGAUAGCUCCGGGAAACCGGAAUUAAUACCGAAUAUGACUUUGGCUGACAUCAGCAGAAGUGGAAAGUUUUUCGGCUAGGGAUGGACUCGCGGCCUAUCAGCUAGUUGGUGAGGUAACGGCCCACCAAGGCGACGACGGGUAGCCGGCCUGAGAGGGCGACCGGCCACACUGGGACUGAGACACGGCCCAGACUCCUACGGGAGGCAGCAGUGGGGAAUAUUGCGCAAUGGGCGAAAGCCUGACGCAGCGACGCCGCGUGGGGGAUGAAUGCCUUCGGGUUGUAAACCCUUUCAGCAGGGACGAAGCGAAAGUGACGGUACCUGCAGAAGAAGCGCCGGCUAACUACGUGCCAGCAGCCGC
This 473-nucleotide ribosomal RNA is filed under the name uncultured bacterium. Its description in RNAcentral is "SSU rRNA". It matches the Rfam family "Bacterial small subunit ribosomal RNA", at positions 26 to 518 of the family's 1533-position model. The record is from RNAcentral.